CAGCAGCCGCGGUAAUACGAAGGGUGCAAGCGUUAAUCGGAAUUACUGGGCGUAAAGCGUGCGUAGGCGGUGAGUUAAGUCUGCUGUGAAAUCCCCGGGCUCAACCUGGGAAUGGCAGUGGAUACUGGCUCGCUAGAGUGUGUCAGAGGAUGGUGGAAUUCCCGGUGUAGCGGUGAAAUGCGUAGAGAUCUGGAGGAACAUCAGUGGCGAAGGCGGCCAUCUGGGACAACACUGACGCUGAGGCACGAAAGCGUGGGGAGCAAACAGGAUUAGUUACCCCCGUAGUCCCUGUCUCUUAUAA
This 301-nucleotide ribosomal RNA is filed under the name uncultured bacterium. RNAcentral describes it as "partial 16S ribosomal RNA". It matches the Rfam family "Bacterial small subunit ribosomal RNA", at positions 509 to 809 of the family's 1533-position model. The record is from RNAcentral.